RNAcentral lists this transfer RNA (35 nucleotides) under Hydrangea macrophylla. RNAcentral's name for it is "partial tRNA-His". Lineage: Eukaryota; Viridiplantae; Streptophyta; Magnoliopsida; Cornales; Hydrangeaceae. The record is from RNAcentral. RNAcentral also lists the same sequence under 11 other names.
GCGGAUGUAGCCAAGUGGAUCAAGGCAGUGGAUUG